UAGGGAAUCUUCGGCAAUGGGGGGAACCCUGACCGAGCAACGCCGCGUGAGUGAAGAAGGUUUUCGGAUCGUAAAGCUCUGUUGUUAAGGAAGAACGAGUGUGAGAAUGGAAAGUUCAUGCUGUGACGGUACUUAACCAGAAAGGGACGGCUAACUACGUGCCAGCAGCCGCGGUAAUACGUAGGUCCCGAGCGUUGUCCGGAUUUAUUGGGCGUAAAGCGAGCGCAGGCGGUUAGAAAAGUCUGAAGUGAAAGGCAGUGGCUCAACCAUUGUAGGCUUUGGAAACUGUUUAACUUGAGUGCAGAAGGGGAGAGUGGAAUUCCAUGUGUAGCGGUGAAAUGCGUAGAUAUAUGGAGGAACACCGGUGGCGAAAGCGGCUCUCUGGUCUGUAACUGACGCGGAGGCUCGAAAGCGUGGGGAGAGAACAGG
This 429-nucleotide ribosomal RNA is filed under the name Bacteroidota bacterium. RNAcentral's name for it is "Bacteroidetes bacterium partial 16S ribosomal RNA". It matches the Rfam family "Bacterial small subunit ribosomal RNA", at positions 355 to 776 of the family's 1533-position model. Lineage: Bacteria; Pseudomonadati; Bacteroidota. The record is from RNAcentral.